GAACGCUAGCUACAGGCUUAACACAUGCAAGUCGCGGGGUAACAUCUGGUAGAGCUUGCUCUUCCAGGAUGACGACCGGCGCACGGGUGAGUAACGCGUAUCCAACCUGGCCCAUACCACGGGAUAGCCCGUCGAAAGGCGGAUUAAUACCGUAUGCUGUCAUUAAGAUGCAUAUAUUGAUGACGAAAGGACUGGCGGUAUGGGAUGGGGAUGCGUCUGAUUAGCUUGUUGGCGGGGUAACGGCCCACCAAGGCGACGAUCAGUAGGGGUUCUGAGAGGAAGGUCCCCCACAUUGGAACUGAGACACGGUCCAAACUCCUACGGGAGGCAGCAGUGAGGAAUAUUGGUCAAUGGGCGAGAGCCUGAACCAGCCAAGUAGCGUGCAGGACGACGGCCCUAUGGGUUGUAAACUGCUUUUAUAAGGGAAUAAAGUGAGUCUCGUGAGACUUUUUGCAUAUACCUUAUGAAUAAGGACCGGCUAAUUCCGUG
Molecule: ribosomal RNA, 489 nt
Filed under: uncultured bacterium
Lineage: Bacteria
Description: bacterial SSU rRNA
Rfam family: Bacterial small subunit ribosomal RNA
Source: RNAcentral